RNAcentral lists this ribosomal RNA (253 nucleotides) under uncultured prokaryote. Its description in RNAcentral is "partial 16S ribosomal RNA". It matches the Rfam family "Bacterial small subunit ribosomal RNA", at positions 525 to 777 of the family's 1533-position model. The record is from RNAcentral.
ACGAAGGAUCCAAGCGUUAUCCGGAUUCAUUGGGUUUAAAGGGAGCGUAGGCGGGUUUAUAAGUCAGUGGUGAAAGCCGAUCGCUUAACGAUCGAACUGCCAUUGAUACUGUAGACCUAGAGUACAGAUGAUGUUGGCGGAAUAUGACAUGUAGCGGUGAAAUGCAUAGAUAUGUCAUAGAACACCGAUUGCGAAGGCAGCUGACAAAACUGUAACUGACGCUGAGGCUCGAAAGUGCGGGGAUCAAACAGGA